This 390-nucleotide ribosomal RNA is filed under the name uncultured bacterium. Its description in RNAcentral is "bacterial SSU rRNA". It matches the Rfam family "Bacterial small subunit ribosomal RNA", at positions 29 to 416 of the family's 1533-position model. The record is from RNAcentral.
AUUGAACGCUGGCGGCAUGCUUUACACAUGCAAGUCGAACGGCAGCGCGGGGAGCUUGCUCCCUGGCGGCGAGUGGCGCACGGGUGAGUAAUACAUCGGAACGUGUCCUAUUGUGGGGGAUAACUGUCCGAAAGGACAGCUAAUACCGCAUAAGACCUGAGGGUGAAAGCAGGGGAUCGCAAGACCUUGCGCGAUAGGAGCGGCCGAUGACCGAUUAGCUAGUUGGUGCGGUAAAGGCGCACCAAGGCGACGAUCGGUAGCUGGUCUGAGAGGACGACCAGCCACACUGGGACUGAGACACGGUCCAGACUCCUACGGGAGGCAGCAGUGGGGAAUAUUGCACAAUGGGGGAAACCCUGAUGCAGCCAUGCCGCGUGUGUGAAGAAGGCC